RNAcentral lists this transfer RNA (72 nucleotides) under Emericellopsis fuci. RNAcentral's name for it is "Acremonium fuci tRNA-Phe". It matches the Rfam family "tRNA". Rfam says of the family: Transfer RNA (tRNA) molecules are approximately 80 nucleotides in length. Lineage: Eukaryota; Fungi; Ascomycota; Sordariomycetes; Hypocreales; Bionectriaceae. The record is from RNAcentral. RNAcentral also lists the same sequence under 1 other name.
GCUCGAGAGGCUCAGCGGUUGAGCGAAAUAUUGAAGCUAUUUAGGUCGUAAGUUCGAAUCUUACCUUGGGCA